Molecule: ribosomal RNA, 253 nt
Filed under: uncultured bacterium
Lineage: Bacteria
Description: partial 16S ribosomal RNA
Rfam family: Bacterial small subunit ribosomal RNA
Source: RNAcentral
UACAGAGGUGGCAAGCGUUGUUCGGAAUUACUGGGCGUAAAGGGCGCGUAGGCGGCCAUCUAAGUCAGACGUGAAAUCCCCCGGCUCAACCUGGGAACUGCGUCUGAUACUGGAAGGCUUGAGUAUGGGAGAGGGAUGUAGAAUUCCAGGUGUAGCGGUGAAAUGCGUAGAUAUCUGGAGGAAUACCGGUGGCGAAGGCGGCAUCCUGGACCAUUACUGACGCUGAGGCGCGAAAGCUAGGGGAGCAAACGGG